This is a long non-coding RNA of Gouania willdenowi (blunt-snouted clingfish), 3677 nucleotides long. NCBI's taxonomy places the organism in Eukaryota, Metazoa, Chordata, Actinopteri, Blenniiformes, Gobiesocidae. The record is from Ensembl.
ACCACAUUAUCACUUUUUUAAACAUUUCAAAGAAAGAUGUGAUAAAAGGAGUUUCAAUCCACUUAAUUACUGGGAGGGACAGUUAAACCAUUGUUUCAAAUACAUAUCUAACGUUUUUGGAAUGUCACCCAAGAAACAAAGCUGGCCUAUUGUUCUCAGCCAUUUAAUGUUAUUUUGUUUAUCAGAAACACACUGGGUAUGGUAAGGUGAGAGGAAGGAAAUGUUCCAAAACAAAAAAACAAGGAGUGCCCGAGGACUCAUGCUUUAAUAAUAGGACUGAAUAAUUACAGGAGAUGCCUUUAACAGCAUUUAAAUAAGAAUGUGUGACUUGAUGCUUUUUCAGUUUAGUUCUACAAAUCAGGAUUGCUGGGUUCUCACCUAUUCAACAUGUUGAAGCUGAUCCUCUCUGUGACAGUCCUCUGGACAUUCUUCUGUAAAGCUGCAGCACUUGAUUGUCUAAGUUGCAGUGGUUCAUGUUCAACUGAAACUACAGAUACAUGUUCUACAGAAACUAUGUGUGUAACUGCCACCAUCACAGAGACAUCAGUUAUUUCACCUGACACAACAAAAAUCCACAAAGGAUGUGCAUCAUCAGAUCUGUGUCCAAUCACAGGCUCUCAAACAUAUGAACUUAACUUGGGUGUUUCAGGUGCACUGAUAUCUGUUGAGUGCUGUGACUUUGAUGGGUGUAACAAUAAUACCUUACCUGCACAUACUCAGUCACAGACUCUAAACGGUCUCCAUUGUUUCUUCUGUGGAUUCGGUCGAUGUGAUGUUUCAUUUGACUGUAAGGGAGACGAGACCCUGUGUAUUCAAGGAACAUUGAACGAAGAUAUUCGUGGCUGUGCAUCACCAAGUGUGUGUACUGCAAGUAGAAGGCUGGGAGAAAUACCAUUAUUACCAGAGUUAGGAACCUUCAGCUCUGGACCAAACUGUUGUGAUACAAAUGAAUGUAAUGAUGGAACUACAACUACCACACCUCCAACUACAACUACCACACCUCCUACUACAACUACCACACCUCCUACUACAACUACCACACCUGGAGGAAUUAAAUGUCUAAGUUGCAGUGGUUCAUGUUCAACUGAAACUACAGUUACAUGUUCUACAGAAACUAUGUGUGUAACUGCCACCAUCACAGACAUAGCAUCUGGUUCAUCUGACCCUCCACGAUUCUACAAAGGAUGUGCAUCAUCAGCUCUGUGUCCAAUCACAGGCUCUCAAACAUAUGAACUUGACUUGGGUGUUUCAGGUGCACUGAUAUCUGCUGAGUGCUGUGACACUGAUGGGUGUAACAAUAAUACCUUACCUGCACAUACUCAGUCACUGACUCCAAAUGAUCUGCAGUGCUUCUUCUGUGCGUUCGAGCGAUGUGAUGUUUCACUCGACUGUUCGGGAGAUAAGACUCUGUGUAUUCAAGGAACAUUGAACAAUGAAGCCUAUGGCUGUGUAUCACCAAGUGUGUGUACUGCAAGUAGAAGGCUGGGAGAACUACCAUUAUUACCAGAGUUAGGAACCUUCAGCUCUGGACCAAACUGUUGUGAUACAAAUGACUGUAAUGAUGGAACUACAACUACCACACCUCCAACUACAACUACCCCACCUCCAACUACAACUAUCACACCUCCAACUACAACUACCACACCUCCAACUACAACUACCACACCUCCAACCACAACUACCACACCUCCAACCACAACUACCACACCUCCAACUACAACUACCACACCUCCUACUACAACUACCACACCUCCAACCACAACUACCACACCUCCAACUACAACUACCACACCUCCUACUACAACUACCACACCUCCAACUACAACUACCACACCUCCAACUACAACUACCACACCUCCAACCACGACUACCACAGCAGCACCAACCACAACAACUAUGACCCCCCCAAACACAGGUAUUCAAUGUAAUGAAGGAGUUGGUUUGAUUUACAAUUUGUGAUUUAAAUUUAUUCUUUCAUUGGGAAUUUUACAAAUACAGUAAUGAAUGAAAACAUGUCAAAUUAAAUGAGGUUUUAACUAUAAACGCUGAAAACCUUUUAACCUCACAUUUUUAACAUUCACACAAAGUCCUGCUACGUUUUUGUUCUCAUUCCAGGACUUCAGUGUCUAUCCUGCUCAGAUUCAUCUUGUUCCAGUCCAGAGUCAGUGACUUGUUCUUCAGAGACUAUGUGUAUAACAGCUUCCAUUAAAGAUCUUUCAUCAGGAGAGGAGAGUUUUUUCAGAGGAUGUGCUCCUCCCACACUGUGUCCACACAACGGCACCUUUAAGUUUUCUACUGAUGUGGUGGAGUCACAUAAAAUCAUAGAUGCUGAAUGCUGCGACACAAACAACUGUAACUCAGAAACUCUGACUGUUCCUGUUCAACAGGCAGAAAACGGCCUUGACUGUUUCUUCUGUAUCUCUGUCUCCAACUCUUGCUCGUUUACUGUCCAUUGUGAAGGAGCACAGGACCGCUGCUUUGAUGGAUAUGUCUCAACUGAUACUGGAGUUCAACCUGUUGCUGGCUGCACAUCAACAGAUGUGUGUGAAAUUGCUCCUGAUCACGGUGUACUGCCAUUUAUGGAAGGAGUGGGAAAUCUAACCAGUGGACCAACCUGUUGUGGAACAAACCAUUGCAAUGAUUUCACAGAACCAACAACAGCAGGACCAACUACAACUCCUAUGAGUACAACAGUUCCAGGACUUCAGUGUCUAUCCUGCUCAGGAUCAUCUUGUUCCAGUCCAGUGUCAGUGACUUGUUCUUCAGAGACUAUGUGUGUAACAGCUUCCAUUAAAGAUCUUUCAUCAGGAGAUGAGAGUUUUUUCAGAGGAUGUGCUCCUCCCACACUGUGUCCACACAACGGCACCUUUAAGUUUUCUACUGAUGUGGUGGAUUCAUAUAAAAUCAUAGAUGCUGAAUGCUGCGACACAAACAACUGUAACUCAGAAACUCUGACUGUUCCUGUUCAACAGGCAGAAAACGGCCUUGACUGUUUCUUCUGUAUCUCUGUCUCCAACUCUUGCUCAUUUACUGUCCAUUGUGAAGGAGCACAGGACCGCUGCUUUGAUGGAUAUGUCUCAACUGAUAAUGGAGUUCAACCUGUUGCUGGCUGCACAUCAACAGAUGUGUGUGAAAUUGCUCCUGAUCACGGUGUACUGCCAUUUAUGGAAGGAGUGGGAAAUCUAACCAGUGGACCAACCUGUUGUGGAACAAACCACUGCAAUGAUUUCACAGAACCAACAACAGCAGGACCAACUACAACUCCUAUUAUUACAACAGUUCCAAGACUUCAGUGUCUAUCCUGCUCAGGAUCAUCUUGUUCCAGUCCAGUGUCAGUGACUUGUUCUUCAGAGACUAUGUGUGUAACAGCUUCCAUUAAAGAUGUUUUAUCUGGAGAUGAGAGUUUUUUCAGAGGAUGUGCUCCUCCCACACUGUGUCCACACAACGGCACCUUUAAGUUUUCUACUGAUGUGGUGGAGUCAUAUAAAAUCAUAGAUGCUGAAUGCUGCGACACAAACAACUGUAACUCAGAAACUCUGACUGUUCCUGUUCAACAGGCAGAAAAUGUCCUUGACUGUUUCUUCUGUAUCUCUGGCACCGACAUUUGUGUGUUUACUGUCCAUUGUGAAGGAGCACAGGACCGCUGCUUUGAUGGAUAUGGUGGGUUUCUAAACUAG